AUACGGAGGAUCCGAGCGUUAUCCGGAUUUAUUGGGUUUAAAGGGAGCGUAGGUGGACAGUUAAGUCAGUUGUGAAAGUUUGCGGCUCAACCGUAAAAUUGCAGUUGAUACUGGCUGUCUUGAGUACAGUAGAGGUGGGCGGGAUUCGUGGUGUAGCGGUGAAAUGCUUAGAUAUCACGAAGAACUCCGAUUGCGAAGGCAGCUCACUGGACUGCAACUGACACUGAUGCUCGAAAGUGUGGGUAUCAAACAGGAUUAGAUACCCUGGUAGUCCACACAGUAAACGAUGAAUACUCGCUGUUUGCGAUAUACAGUAAGCGGCCAAGCGAAAGCAUUAAGUAUUCCACCUGGGGAGUACGCCGGCAACGGUGAAACUCAAAGGAAUUGACGGGGGCCCGCACAAGCGGAGGAACAUGUGGUUUAAUUCGAUGAUACGCGAGGAACCUUACCCGGGCUUAAAUUGCAUUUGAAUAUAUUGGAGACAGUAUAGUCGUAAGACAAAUGUGAAGGUGCUGCAUGGUUGUCGUCAGCUCGUGCCGUGAGGUGUCGGCUUAAGUGCCAUAACGAGCGCAACCCUUAUCUUUAGCUACUAACAGGUCAUGCUGAGGACUCUAGAGAGACUGCCGUCGUAAGAUGUGAGGAAGGUGGGGAUGACGUCAAAUCAGCACGGCCCUUACGUCCGGGGCUACACACGUGUUACAAUGGGGGGUACAGAAGGCAGCUACCUGGUGACAGGAUGCUAAUCCCAAAAGCCUCUCUCAGUUCGGAUCGAAGUCUGCAACCCGACUUCGUGAAGCUGGAUUCGCUAGUAAUCGCGCAUCAGCCAUGGCGCGGUGAAUACGUUCCCGGGCCUUGUACACACCGCCCGUCAAGCCAUGAAAGCCGGGGGUACCUGAAGUACGUAACCGCAAGGAGCGUCCUAGGGUAAAACUGGUAUUGGGGCU
Molecule: ribosomal RNA, 944 nt
Filed under: uncultured bacterium
Lineage: Bacteria
Description: bacterial SSU rRNA
Rfam family: Bacterial small subunit ribosomal RNA
Source: RNAcentral